AAACUCAACCAGGUCCCGGAUACACGUAUGAAAGCCAAGCUGAAAGACUUUGCUCAAUGAUGUAAGUGGUGGUGCAUGGUCGUUCGUAGUUCGUGGAUUGAUUUGUCUGGUCUAUUCCGAUAACGAGCGAGACCCCAACGUUCCUAAUAGGGGUGGCAGCCCGGCCGGCCGCAAGGCCGGCUAGCCGCCACCUGAGAUAUUGCUUCUUAGACGUAUCAGAGCCGAUAAGGUUCUUGAAAUGGGUUAAUAACAGGUCAGUCAUGCCCUUAGAUGUUCUGGGCCGCACGCGCGUUACAAUGGCAUGUAAAGCGAGUGCUGCAAAAGGCGUUACCGGGGCCGAAAGGCCCUGGUAACCCUUAAUCCCUGCCUUGGACUGGGAUAGAUCAUUGCAAUUAUUGGUCUCUAACGAGGAAUUUUUAGUAGUCGUAGGUCAUUAACCUACGACGAAUGCGUCCCUGCCCCUUUGUA
RNAcentral lists this ribosomal RNA (468 nucleotides) under Physarum cinereum. Its description in RNAcentral is "bacterial SSU rRNA". It matches the Rfam family "Eukaryotic small subunit ribosomal RNA", at positions 1210 to 1664 of the family's 1831-position model. Lineage: Eukaryota; Evosea; Eumycetozoa; Physariida; Physaraceae. The record is from RNAcentral.